AGUGCCUUUUGAGGAAACAGUUGUGUGAUUAUUACUUAAGAAAAAAGUGUUGAAUAGUAGUUUGGUGCAUUUUAACGGUGUUUGGUGUGGCUGUAGUUGUUUUUGGUGGAGCAGGCGAUAUUAAGGUACAAUUCAUAUCGGGUGAUACUUGUACAGGGUGCAUCGGGCUAUGUCGAACAGGUAUAGGUGUGUUUGUGUUGGUAAGAUCAGGACGAUGGUGAGACGGCCUUUGCGGGAGUGAGAUAAACUCACGCACACCGAGCCCGACCGGCCAAGAUCCUGCGCAAACUAAAAGCGAUGACGUCCGUGGUGUCCAACUGUGAUUUUACCAUCGACACUACCUGGUCAACAGUUACGGUUUUGGCUAACCUAGAUAGAUGUAGCCACAUAUAGUUUGUUCUUGGUAGUUGUGACACGGUUGGGAUCGACGUGGUGGUGGUAUCGGUUCCUGUUAUUAUUGGUGGUAGUGAAGGGCGAUUUCUUUGGUGAGUAUUGUCGGUGUCUGUAUUUACAGGGUAUAGUGGAGCAUUGUCAACAACAAUGGCUUCCGUGGAUGCAACAACGUCGCGGAACAACCUUCUACGCUUUCCACUCGGGAGGGCAUCUGGGGGCGGUACGUUGAAGUGUUCGCUAGGAGCUUGGUGAGCCGCGGCAAAACUGGCAAAGCCCUCACGGAUUUCGUGCAUCACAGGCGGGACUAAAGCAGCUUUCAUCACCUCGACAGCGGCAGUAAGAGCCGCCUGGAAGCCGACCUGCAUACCCGUUGUUUUGACUGCUUUACUAUGUGGGUUGCCAAGAGCAUUCGAACACCCUACACAGCUCCAAUGAAGAGAUGCCGUCCGUUUUACCUCUUCGAUCACAGUGAAAGUUGCCGUUGCAGAUAGAUGCCACAGGACUCAGGAACAAACGCAGGAAAUACAGCAAAGUCAGGAAUGGUUGUGACGAACGAUUGAAGGCAGGACUACCAGGGACAGCUUAAGUCACAGCUAAGCGGCAGUUUGACGAAAAUAAGGCCGAAACGACAAAAUAAUUCACGGAUUUACGCGGAGCACAGUGAGAAAACACACUCUGUCGUCAGCUGUCAACUGUCAACUUUU
Molecule: long non-coding RNA, 1097 nt
Organism: Anopheles gambiae (African malaria mosquito)
Lineage: Eukaryota; Metazoa; Arthropoda; Insecta; Diptera; Culicidae
Exons: 3
Source: RefSeq, a predicted model, not a curated record